GACGGAGGGGGCUAGCGUUGUUCGGAAUGACUGGGCGUAAAGGGCGCGUAGGCGGUGCUAUAAGUGAGGCGUGAAAGCCCUGGGCUUAACCCAGGAGGUGCGUUUCAUACUGUAGCGCUAGAGUGCGAGAGAGGAAAGUGGAAUUCCUAGUGUAGAGGUGAAAUUCGUAGAUAUUAGGAAGAACACCAGAGGCGAAGGCGGCUUUCUGGCUCGCAACUGACGCUGAGGCGCGAAAGCGUGGGGAGCAAACAGG
RNAcentral lists this ribosomal RNA (253 nucleotides) under uncultured bacterium. Its description in RNAcentral is "partial 16S ribosomal RNA". It matches the Rfam family "Bacterial small subunit ribosomal RNA", at positions 524 to 776 of the family's 1533-position model. The record is from RNAcentral.